RNAcentral lists this ribosomal RNA (253 nucleotides) under uncultured bacterium. RNAcentral's name for it is "partial 16S ribosomal RNA". It matches the Rfam family "Bacterial small subunit ribosomal RNA", at positions 524 to 776 of the family's 1533-position model. The record is from RNAcentral.
UACGGAGGGUGCGAGCGUUGUCCGGAAUCACUGGGCGUCAAGGGCGCGUAGGCGGCAGGUCAAGAGUGUGGUGAAAGCCCGGGGCUCAACCCCGGGUCGGCCAGGCGGACUGGCGUGCUUGAGCACUGUAGGGGCGGGUGGAAUUCCGGGUGUAGCGGUGGAAUGCGUAGAGAUCCGGAAGAACACCAGAGGCGAAGGCGGCCUACUGGGCCAGUACUGACGCUGAGCCGCGAAAGCUAGGGGAGCGAACGGG